RNAcentral lists this ribosomal RNA (328 nucleotides) under uncultured eukaryote. RNAcentral's name for it is "partial 18S ribosomal RNA". It matches the Rfam family "Eukaryotic small subunit ribosomal RNA", at positions 1470 to 1796 of the family's 1831-position model. The record is from RNAcentral.
CCCUUAGAUGUUCUGGGCUGCACGCGCGCUACACUGAAUGAAUCAGCGAGUGUAUGUCCUAGGCCGAAAGGUCCGGGUAACCCGUUGAACCUCAUUCGUGAUUGGGAUAGGGACUUGCAAUUGUUUCCCUUGAACGAGGAAUUCCCAGUAAGCGCAAGUCAUCAGCUUGCGUUGAUUACGUCCCUGCCCUUUGUACACACCGCCCGUCGCUCCUACCGAUUGGGUGUGCUGGUGAAAUGUUCGGAUCGGCCGUUUGUCGCGGUUUCCGCGUCAUGUGGCUGAGAAGUUCAUUAAACCCUCCCACCUAGAGGAAGGAGAAGUCGUAACA